AGGAGACCAUCUCACAGCAAACUUCUGGAGACUCUACAACACUUUACAGACAACUGUUACAAGUUGAUUAGAAUGUGACUAAGGUACUUAGACCAUCGCUUGGAACCUUCCGGGACACAUAGGAAGACUCAAGUGCUUCAAGAUGGUGGUGGAUGAGGAGAAAUGAUGAGAAAGAAAGGUCUGAGCAGACAUCAUCUUGGACACAGAGAUAGAGGUAAGGAAGCCAUCAAUCAGGUCGGAACGAGAUUAGGUCUGGGAACAGACAAGCCACGACGUUUCAAUUUCUGAUAGCCCAGGUUGGCAUAAAUAAACAGACCAUACAAGAUCUCAAAUAUCAAAGGACUCUGGCUGGGGUGUCAGGAGCAGACAACUUAAUUCAGAAACCAUUUCUAAUGGCACCAUGGUCAGUUCAACCACACUCCACAAAACACAUUUAUUAGUGAGUGCUUGCAAGCUAAAAAGAAAAAUCUCACUUCUGAUUUGUUUGUUUGUUUGUUUUUAUGGUCCUAAGACCAUACAAGGUAGGAAGGUGCCCUAUCAUUGAGCUACACUCUUAAUCCUGAUUUUUAACUUUUUACAACUUCUCAGAUAGCAUUUGAGCAUCCUGCAAGUCCUUCUACAAGAGACAGUGAAACGGCUAAUUGGUUUUUGUUUUGUUUUGUUUUGUUUUGUUUUGUUUGUUUUGUUGUGACAGAGGGAGAAACUGGAUUGAAUAAGACAUUAGGCUAACACACAGAUUCUUCAAUACAUUCCACAGUAAACAGUCUCUGCUUUCUCUCUGCUCCUGUCUGAGGCUGGCAGGAGCCUGCUAAGUUCCUAGAUACCCAUGAACUGCCUGGUCCCACCAACCUGAUGACCACACAUUCCAACCCAGGCACAAGGGAACCAGCUAGGUUAGUCCUGAACAUGGGCAAAACUUGGUUAGUUGCCAGGAAAAGCACCUGAUAUCAUAGACCCGACAAGGUGGCCACCUCUACUCUAUUCAUAUGACAGAAGAUCCUGCUGUUAGACAAGAGACCUGCACAUCACCAUGGGCUGCCAUCUUCAGCCUGAGGAACCAGUGAGUUGUACCUCUCGUGAUGAGGCCCCCGGGCAGGCCUGCAACAAAAAAGCCUGUCUCAACUUGAAGUCAAGGCUCUAAGCCAGCUCAGAACAUGAAAUCUACAGUUUGGCAUAGCUUCUGCUUCUGUGUCCACCAGAGCAACACAACACACCUAGUCACACAGAUCACAAAGACGGGUUCAGGAGAUGUGGGGCCUGACAAGCUAUGCAGAGGAAUGCCAGCAUGGUGAUGUUUGUAGGCCUCUUCUUUUCUACACAAAAUUCCUACCUACGGCCCCUGUGAUGUCCCCUUGGUACAAACUUUACCUUAGUGGGAAAGUGUGAUGUUAGGAGUAAUCAAAAGGCUUUAGCACGUUCUCGGGACUUAGCAGCUGGCAAACUUUUGCUAACACAUUUGUCAUAUGAGAAAGUAAGAGAGAAGAGUGCCCAUCACCCCUGCAGGAGCUGACUCCAAAUCCCAGCCCAUGUGAAGAGACAGUGUGAUGGUAUAUAGGCCCUUGCAAUCUCAGCAC
Molecule: non-coding RNA, 1574 nt
Organism: Rattus norvegicus (Norway rat)
Lineage: Eukaryota; Metazoa; Chordata; Mammalia; Rodentia; Muridae
Source: RefSeq, a predicted model, not a curated record